Molecule: ribosomal RNA, 301 nt
Filed under: uncultured bacterium
Lineage: Bacteria
Description: partial 16S ribosomal RNA
Rfam family: Bacterial small subunit ribosomal RNA
Source: RNAcentral
CAGCCGCCACGGUAAAACGUAGGUGGCAAGCGUUGUCCGGAAUUAUUGGGCGUAAAGGGCUCGCGGGCGGUUUCUUAAGUCUGAUGUGAAAGCCCCCGGCUCAACCGGGGAGGGUCAUUGGAAACUGGGAAACUUGAGUGCAGAAGAGGAGAGUGGAAUUCCACGUGCAGCGGUGAAAUGCGUAGAGAUGUGGAGGAACACCAGUGGCGAAGGCGACUCUCUGGUCUGUAACUGACGCUGAGGAGCGAAAGCGUGGGGAGCAAAUGGGAUUAGAGACCCCGGUAGUCCCUGUCUCUUAUAC